UCCAACUUUCCAAGUUCUUUCCGCUGCCUUAGUUUCUUUGGACCCAUUAAAACGGAGGCUCUGCUCCUCCUCUGUUUCUCUACAGGGUUCUUCUUUCUCUCUGCCUUUUGCUCUCUACCUUCCUUCUCACAUCUCACACUUUCUGCAGCCAUGGCAACCGCUUCUUCGACACCCAAAGAGAAGAAAACCACAACCCUUCCUCCGAGGAGAGGCAAGAUCAAGGGCAAGAUUUUUCGAAUCUUAGUCAAAGCAGUGAUCAAGAUGGCCUCGAAACUGGGAGCUCGGAGGAACAACAGAAAAGAAGGUGGUCGAAACUCUGCCUCUGUAACACCACCACCAAGUGCCUACAACUCUGAUGCCAAUUCUGGCAUCCGUUGCAAAUGAUCGGAUUGCUAGAUGGGCUCUGUAUUCAUCACUGUUUCUCCGGUUCGUGCCUCGAAUCGUUUCCUAUCCCACUUAUCCAUGAAUAUAAGAAAUUCUGCUAGUUUAAAUGCAGAAAUCAAACCUGGUAAUGUUUUACAUUAUGUUCCUGCAUAGCUCAUAUUUUAGGCCAGUUUUGCAGGAUCAAUAUCCGUUUAACCUUAUCUUGUAUUUCAAUUUCUUAGGAGUUGUUUCUGAUGGUAUUUUGGCUCUCUAUCGUUUAUGUAGUUGUUAUAUGAUACAGUGGUUAUAAACAUUAUAUUUUGCUUUUUACA
This 695-nucleotide long non-coding RNA is filed under the name Malus domestica (apple). RNAcentral's name for it is "long non-coding RNA (MDOM_LNC002509)". The record is from RNAcentral. Lineage: Eukaryota; Viridiplantae; Streptophyta; Magnoliopsida; Rosales; Rosaceae.